AUGAUUCCUGUUAGAUAUAUAUAAAAGAUGGAAAGAGUGUGAGUUUGGCGCAAUGAGGUCACGAGUUCAAAUCCUGGAAACAACCUUUUCACUGAUGAAGUAUGACUGCAUAUAUCUACCUUUUCCAGACUCAAUAAGUGGAGCCUCAUACACUAAGCCACCUUAUAUAUAUAGAGAUGCCCCUUUAAAGUGUGUUAGCCAGUUGGAUAGAACAUGUAUAUUCUGAGAUUCCUACCCUACCAAAAUUUCUUCAUUAAGGGUUACACUGAUUUACCAUUAUCAAAAUAUAGUUGCCCUUCUUUCAGCAUGAGGCCUAGUAUUUGAAAAGCAGCCUUAUAGCUAUGCAAAUUGGCUGAGUGUGAGAUUUCUAUAUACAUAUUGCCACCAUCCAUCUAUGCAAUAAAAAUAUCACCAUCUCCACCAAGUUAUAAGUUUUGAUGGCGUGUCAGGGUUAACUUUCUUGUUUUACUACUAUUCAGUCAUGUAAUUACUAUAUGAUUAUAAAAAAUGUCGUCAUCAUAUCUGCUAAGUAUAAAGUCCAAAAUGAUGUGCUAAUAAUAAACACCAGUGAUAUCAAGCACUACAAGAUGAAUACAUAAACACCAUACUAUUAUAAUGACCAUAUCAGGAAUUAGAGAGACAAGUAUAUAAAUGGUGAGGAAUACAGAAAGGUGAAGACAAUAACUUUUAAGGAUGUGGGGACCAGAGAAAUUAUUGUAUACUCUAAGAGCAUUAUAACUGCAUGGUUUAAGAUCAACCACUGCCACUAAUUGUGAAUUGAUAACUUAAGAUCUGUAAAUGGUGAAAAUUCUUAUAGGAGCAUUUAUUCUGUUCCAUAAGCAUACUAGAGUUUUUCAGUGGACCUACAAUAAUUGUAGUAAAAGUGUAAAACACACACAUGCACAAACUAUGUACAAUUUACUGCUGUGAUAAAUUUUUAUGGGUAGGUACCUUAAUUGAAAUAGCUACGUUGCAAUAUAAUGCAGGCAUUCAAAGCCACAUGGGCAUCUUCUUGCAAGGUAGAAGCAUCAACCAUGCUAGUUCCAACAGAUUAUGUCUUCUACGUGGGACCUAUUUCAUUCUCUGGCCCAUACUGUAAACCCAACAUUGUUUUUCAGGUAACAGUUAACACAACUAAGAAAAAUGAAAGUUAGCAUCAAAAUAAAACAAGACUAGUAGGUAACAUGUGAAAACACUCAUCCCAAUAUAUUCACAAGUCACAAUAGCAAUAUAUGAUUUAACAUAAGAACAAUAUACACGGGCCUGUCCUUUUCCCAAUUCAGAAAAUUACAUAACAAAGAACAGUUAUUGCAUUUUGUCCUAGAAACCUUGCAUUAACCACCAACUCUUCCUAUUACUAUUUUAGUUUAUUGUAAAAACGCUUUACAUUUUUUUACAUUGUCAUAUUUAUAACAAUGUGUCAAUGUCAAUACUCCAUAGUGUAAAAACUUUUACACCAAAAAUGGGUUACAAAAAAAUCACUUGUCGAAAUGUGUAUUUACCUCUACACGGUAAGUUGGUAACUGUCCUUUUCGGUUAUAGCAACCGACAGUACAGUUGGAAUUUAGGCUAAUAAGGUGAUACUAUGUCAGCUUGAUGGUACAAUUAUUGCUCCAACAAACUCCAAUGCUUGGGGUGGAGGAUUGCUACAAUGGCUAGAAUUCACAAAGUUGGUGGGAAUUACCAUUCAAGGAAAUGGUGUCAUUGAUGGAAGAGGCUCUGUCUGGUGGCAAGACCAACCAUUUGAUGAGCCUAUAGAUGAUGAAGAAAAGCUCAUUGUCCCUUUAAACCACACAGAGAAGCCACCAUUGCCUGUAAUUAUCUUUGUUACUUUUCACAUUAAUAACACUUUAUUGCUAACCUCAGCUAAUGAUUUAUAUUUAUGCAUUUGUAUUAGAUACAAAGUGAGAUGGGAAGAAAAAUGCCAAGCAUCAAGCCAACUGUGAGGACCACUUUAACUUUACAAGACCAAUUAGGUUUAUGUUUAGAAGUUUUUUCACUUCAUGGUUGUGUUUUUGUUGCACAGGCACUAAGGUUUUAUGGGAGCUUUAAUACAACAGUCACAGGCAUUACAAUUCAAAAUAGUCCUCAAUGUCACCUCAAGUUUGACAACUGCAAUGGAGUCCUGGUUCAUAAUGUGAGUGUAUCAUCUCCGGGUGAUAGUCCUAACACAGAUGGAAUUCACCUUCAGAAUUCAAAAAAUGUGGUGAUUCACAGCAGUAAAUUAGCAUGUGGUAAUACUUCAAUUAUCGAAAAGUAAUUGCACUAUUCUAUGAGCAUUAAGACAACUGAGUUCACGAAAUAAGUUUGAGGGUUGAAUAAAAAGGGUGGCCCAAUACACGAGGCUCCCACUUAGUAAGGUCUAGGGAAGGUUGAUGUAAGCAGCCUUACCCCCACAAACGAAGAGGUUUUUUGCAAAAAGUUUGAGGAUUGAAUAAAAACAUAAUAUAUGUGGACUUCAGCUCUAAAACAACUGGGAGGACAUAAAUAAAUACAAAACAAAAAGGAAGAGAAUAGAAAGACAAAGAUUAGAUGCAUAGCAUAUGAAUAUGAUCCUCAAAAGAGCAUGGCAUUAUCAUAUCCUAUCCUUGGUCACAUGGCAGCUAAGAAUCUCCUAAUACUUUUACAUUAUAGCCAUCAAUAACAUUGACAAGUCAAGUCCAAACCCCACAUUGCAUCAUCUAAUAUUAUCUUACUCUUUAGUAUCCAAAUAAGAAAAUAAGAACCCCCUUUUGUAUUUCUUCCAUUAUCUAUUUCUUUAUUAGAAAACAGAUCAUCUGCUUUUGAUCCUUCUUACCAACCUUUUAAAGGAGGACCUACUUAGCAGAACAAAAGAUUAACAUUGCAUGUCAGAGAAUCUAUUACAAGCUGAACAAAAAUUUUCAAUAGAUAACACUACAGAUAAAAGGUCAUGCAUCUAGGCAAAAACCACAGCUAAACAAAGUGAAGUAGAAUAAUACACAUACGUAACUCAAGUUGCUAAGUGUUGUUUUGAAUUUCAACUGAUGCAGGAGAUGAUUGUAUUUCUAUACAAACUGGAUGCUCAAAUGUAUAUGUAUAUGAUAUCAACUGUGGGCCAGGACAUGGAAUCAGCAUUGGAAGUUUGGGAAAGGAUAACACCAGAGCCUGUGUCUCAAACAUUACAGUCAGAGAUGUCAAGAUGCACAACACAAUGAAUGGUGUCAGAAUCAAAACAUGGCAGGUAAAAUAAAGAUUCCUAAGUUGAAAGUUAAGAAAUAUUUUCAACAUAAAAACAAUUUACUUUAACCAACUAUUAUAUAUAUAAGUAUAAAACUAUGGUUUAUGAAUGCUAAGGAUGAGUCAAUCCAGGCAUUACCAGAGUUUGAUGAACUAGUUUGAUUUCUCACCAAAGCUAAAUAACAUAUAUGCAGGGUGGAUCAGGGUCAGUGCAGGGAAUAGUAUUCUCAAACAUACAAGUAUCUGAAGUUAAACUCCCAAUAGUGAUUGACCAAUUCUAUUGUGAUAAAAGAACAUGCAAAAACCAAUCAUCAGCUGUGUCUCUAGAAGGAAUCAACUAUGAAAGAAUAAGGGGUACUUACACAGUUAAGCCAGUGCACUUUGCAUGCAGUGAUUUUCUUCCAUGUGUAGAUGUUUCUCUAACAUCUGUAGAGUUAAAACCAGUUCAAGAACAAUACCACCUAUAUGAUCCAUUCUGCUGGCAGACUUAUGGUGAAUUAAGAACUCCUACUGUUCCACCAAUUGGUUGUCUUCAGAUUGGGAAGCCAUCAAGCAACAGAGUUCAGACAGAUCAUGAUUCCUGUUAGAUAUAUAUAAAAGAUGGAAAGAGUGUGAGUUUGGCGCAAUGAGGUCACGAGUUCAAAUCCUGGAAACAACCUUUUCACUGAUGAAGUAUGACUGCAUAUAUCUACCUUUUCCAGACUCAAUAAGUGGAGCCUCAUACACUAAGCCACCUUAUAUAUAUAGAGAUGCCCCUUUAAAGUGUGUUAGCCAGUUGGAUAGAACAUGUAUAUUCUGAGAUUCCUACCCUACCAAAAUUUCUUCAUUAAGGGU
This 4032-nucleotide long non-coding RNA is filed under the name Lupinus angustifolius (narrow-leaved blue lupine). Its description in RNAcentral is "long non-coding RNA (LANG_LNC002537)". The record is from RNAcentral. Lineage: Eukaryota; Viridiplantae; Streptophyta; Magnoliopsida; Fabales; Fabaceae.